This 319-nucleotide ribosomal RNA is filed under the name uncultured eukaryote. Its description in RNAcentral is "partial 18S ribosomal RNA". It matches the Rfam family "Eukaryotic small subunit ribosomal RNA", at positions 1470 to 1796 of the family's 1831-position model. The record is from RNAcentral.
CCCUUAGAUGUUCUGGGCAGCACGCGCGCUACAAUGGUCUUCGCAAACGGAUGCAUUCUCGAAGGAGAAUGCCAAUCUUGGAAUCUAUGCCUUGGUCGGGACAGUUGCUUGCAAUUUUUCGACUCGAACCAGGAAUUCCUUGUAAUCGUGAUUCAUCACAUCACGAUGAAUACGUCCCUGCCCUUUGUACACACCGCCCGUCUCUCCUACCGAUCGAAGAGUUAGGUGAAUUGUUUUGAUCGAUAAGAUUUGACUAUGGUCAACUCUCGUUGUGAAAUUCUGUGAAUCUGACUGUUUAGAGGAAGGAAAAGUCGUAACA